This 13437-nucleotide long non-coding RNA is filed under the name Lactuca sativa (garden lettuce). RNAcentral describes it as "long non-coding RNA (LSAT_LNC004905)". The record is from RNAcentral. Lineage: Eukaryota; Viridiplantae; Streptophyta; Magnoliopsida; Asterales; Asteraceae.
AUUAAAAAAAUGCAUAAGGACUUGCACUUUGAUAAUAAUAGACUGGGGCAUGAUCGUUAUUACUACCAUAAGAAAUAUGAAAAUUUUGAAACAAUUCUACACCAAAAGUCCAAAAAAUUGUGAUGAAUUAACCUAACUAACUUCCAUCCUUUUUUCUUUGUUUUUCUCUAUGCCAUUUUCUUUUCCAUUAUCGGUGGCAUAUGAAUCUUCAUCAAUUGGGAUGAAACAAUUCUACAUCAAGGUCUAUUUUGAAAGUUAUCCUCUUUCUUUUUUUCUUCUUAUAAUCAACAACCUGUUGUCAAAGAAAGUAUCAAUAUCAGCAACAACACAUACAGAACUAUAAUAUUCAAGUCCUUAAGUUAGGUUGAACAUAAUCUUUAUCAUCAAAUUCUAUAGUUAAUAACUUCCUUUUGUAUCAUUUGGAUAUUCAAAUGCCACUUUACUCUAUUGAAUAACUACUAAACCCAUAAUGCUUUUUGUAUCAAAUAAAUAUGCAUUAUAGUAACAUAUUGCCUCAUUCAGCUUGAUCAAGUUGUUGAAAAACUUCAGUGUAAUAGUAAAGCUAUAAAAUUGCAAUCAAGGAAUAAAACAUAAAAUUUGUCUUCUAUAAUUAAUCAGAAAGAAAAAAAACCUGAUUUGAAGUUACAUAAGGUGGAGAUCAAGAGCAGAGGAAAUGAGUAGUAGUGGUGGUCAAUGCAGUAGGUAACGAUGGAGGCGGUGGUCGGCAAGGAGGAUGACAACAGCGGUCAGAGAUUGAAGCCGAUGGUCAGAUGCAGUUUGUGAACACAGAGGCGAUGUCUUCAUAAUCAGGAAGCGGGAGAGCAAGGCAGCAAGCCGGUUGAGAGGAAGAAAGCGUCGAAGGGCCAAAUGAGGAAGAUGACCCAAUCAGCUAUUUUUUUUACUCAUUUAGCAUACAAUUUGUACCAUAUGAGAUUCACAACAACAACACCAAACGAAAAAAUAUCAGAAAAAAAAAAUCAUCAAUACUUCAUUAAAUCUAGCAUAAUCAAAGAAGAACAAAAAAAAAGAAACUUGAACAUCACAAAAAAAAUCCAACAUCUCUGCAAAAUUUGAGCACAAAAAAUCGGAGAAAAAAGGUAUCAAAACUCACAUGUUCGGAAUUUUGAUGGUUGCCUGUUGAAUGGUCGGAGGAAGCUGACACCAUUAAGCAACAUAUCAGGAUUGGAAGCAACAUGUGAACUUGAUAGCAGUAUUCAUCGAUGGAUGUUCUUCCUGUGGAGGCAUUCAAUCGUAGGGAAAAAUUGGAAUGAUGAAUGUUUUGUCACAUUUUGUCCCGGUCCAGAAAAUGAAAAGGUAUGACCGAAUCAGAUCCAAAGCUUGGACCGAGUCCACAGCUUGGACUAGUCUUUGAUUGUAAAAUGAUCAUCAAACAUGUUGAUUAAGUUUUUUUGGACCGGGUACUAUAUUGGACUCAGUUAGAGGCUAUAUCAAACGAGCCCUAAGAAAACUCUGAGCUUUAUACCUCAAAAUGAAGCUCCACACUAAGAUAAGCCCAGAUCCAAGGCCUGAAAUCCUACUCCGUCUUCUUCAAGACUCCUUCUUCACUCCAAAGAAACUCAAGAAUGCUCUUAAGGCUCUCUAAUACACUCACAAGCUCUAAGAACGAAAACUAGGAUUUAGGAGGGUUGGUGACUGAGAAUGGUGGCCAGGAAUAAGGCCAUCAUAUCCUUUAAAUAGGGGUCUCACCCUAAAUUAGGGUUUUCAAUCUGAGCCUAGUACGCCUAGCGUACUAGGUGGCUUCCGCAUAAAAAGCACGCAUAUGAGUACGCUUAGCAUACACUCGCGUACGCCCCGCAUACUCACUCACCACCUUUUCUUAUAAAGGGACUAAAAUGGUCAAAUACUCAAAAGACCAAGGGUUAAGAGUUAUACCUGAUCUCGGGAUGUUACACAACUUGCACAAACUAGAAAGAUAAGCACGCACUCCCUCACUUGCGAAAUAUGAGCACAGCCACCCACCUGGUAGUGUGUGGCGGUCAGUCACGAGCAAGCUGAUGUGGAACCAUGUGAAAGCGGAAGGAGAAUGAGUGGUCGCAGCGGGGAACGGGGGUUGAGUCUCCACCGACAAACAACAUCAACAGCCACGAUUCAUGGUUCUGGCGACCUACUGAUUCGGCGUCUAUGUCAUGCUCUACGUUUCUGUUGGCAGUCGCACCGACGGUUUGGCUUCGGUGGUCUCAGACAUUUAUAGUGGCUAGGAGGCGUGCGAUGGUUGGAGGUAGGUGGUAUAAGGUUGGCGGCUGAAAGAUAUAAUUAGGGUUCGGGUUUCCUUGGUGAUGCAUCCUUAAAACAAAAAGGGAAGGGGACCGGGUUCAAGUCUUGUGUCUGAUUUGAAACUGUAGGGUUUCAAAGUACUCCAUGGAUGAUGGCAAUGGGCCCCUUUAAUGAAUUCUAGGUUAAAAGCCCAAGACUUGUCUUUUCCCUAUAAAUAGUCAUGUAUUAUUCACAAUUAGGGUUGAGAGAGAGAGAGAGAGAGAGGCAAAAUGUAGCCGCCACGUGAGGUUUCUUAUGUACUGUUAGAUUCUUUAGUCUAUGCUGAAAGUGUAAUUUGUUCCUCUUGUUUCAAUAAAUCGAGUGAUCAUUCGACCUAAUCUUCAUAUUUGUGUGUGUUCUUAUGUUCCACAUCUUGUUCAUCAAAUCACAAUUAGGGUUUGAAUCCCAUCAAGUGGUAUCAGAGCAGAUCUUUGAAGAUCUAUUGAUUUUUGAAGUAUCGGUUCUUGAUUUGAUGAUUUUCUGCAUGAGUUAUUGAAGAUUAUUGGUGUUUUGGCGGUAUGGAAUCAAGCUUUCUGUUCAAGCAACUAUUAAUGGAAAAUUAUGUGUUCUGUUACUGUUCAUCUGGUAUUUUAUUUGAUCCGAUAUGUGUUUCUGUUCGUAUUCAUGAUUGGAUCUGUUUGUUAAUUCAGUCCAAGAUCAAUAAUUAUUCUAUUGUUUUAAUGUGACCCAAAUAAUGGAUCCUUUACUGUUCAUGAUCCGUCAUCUUUUGUCCUAUUUGUUUUCUUUUUGUGUCACUAGAACCUGCGUAUGUCGUUUGCUUUGUACAUCAUUCCUUCAUCUAGUCGAUGUCUCAUUAUCUUGAUCAAAAUCGUUGAAUAUUGGUUAUUGGUUGUUAUCGUGAAGUUCAUCAAUCCAUUCUUUUUAGUUUUAAUCCAAGGUCAAUUUUUUUAAUCGAUUUUCCGAUUCCUAUUCAUAUAAUCGAUUUGAUUUUCCAAAUAAUUUGAUUUAUGUUGAAAUUGGAAAUUUUUUGAUGAUAUUGUUCUAACUAUGAGUAAAAUCGAUCGAUCUUUGGAGAAUCGAUUGGAAGUUUGAUUGAAUGCGAAUCUCGAUGUCUGAUGAUGAAUGGAUGAACAAUGUUGUUUCUUGAUUUAGAUGGUCAAAAUAGAAAAGUCAAAAUUGGAAUUACUAAUCUGUGAACGAUGCUCUCAUCUAUGAGUGCAAUCGAAUGCGUAGACUGAAUAUUCUCGGUUAUCUAUCGUGAUUGUAUUGAUCUGGGGAUGUCAAUUUUGGCAUUUGUCAGUCUUAAUGGUCCAAGAAACAAAAGUCAAAAUCGACUCAUAUAAACGGAGAACAGUGGGUUGUUGAUCUAAAAUCAAAUUGGAAUCAGGUUCUCAAUCGCCAAAUGGGUUUUACAUUCGGGGCUUAAUACAAUCAGAACAAACGAAUGAAAGUCAGAUUGUUGUGAAAAUCAUUACCUACAAACGAUCAAAGCUCGUUUUUUUUACUUGCACUCAUAUUGUUCGUCGACAGUGGUUCGUAUUGGGUUUGUGAUCGUCGGAGUCUGAGCGAGAGAUCACGGUUUUGGGGGUUUUAGGGUUGCCUUGAUUCGCAACUUACAGAUGGUCAGUGUAUUCGAAGGACUUGGAAUGAACUUGGGUUUGCGUGAUUAUGCUUGGAACUGAAUAGAACCGAAUGUUCGGUUGGGUUCGCUUUUUGGGUGUGUAAUGAACAAGAAACGAACCUUACAAUCACAAACGAAACUCAUAGAAGCGAAGGUCACAGACGCUAACAUUUGAAGCGAACCUGAGAUUCGCUUCCGGUUGACGAGAUUCGCUUUGGGUGUACUUGGAAUGAACGGUGGCACUAUUGGACUCGGACACGAACGUAAAGAAGAAAAUGAAAGGGUCGAACGAUGUUAUUGGAUGAUCGGUAUUGUAUCUGUGGUUCGUAUGCGAACGAUUGUUUACAGUUGUCGUUCAAUUCUUUUAAUCAGUCGAUAUAUCAUAUAUUGGGGCUGAAGACAUAAUGUUACAUUCUUGGCCCCUGUAAUUUCAGAGAAUGGACACUUUUGGUCCCUGUUGUUUUCACAACUUGGCAAUUAUGUAUAAAUUCCAGAAAUUGUUACAUUUAAAAGGGAAAUUCAUGCAAAGUUACAUUUUCAGUCCUAGAAUUUCAGAAAAGUGACACUUUCAGCCCAUUUUUUGAAAAGUUUGCAAAUUUGAGGGCCGGUGAACAGUUUUGGAUUUUUUAAUGCACAUAUUUUUUUCGUGAACAGAAAAAUAAAUAUUCCAUCAAGUCUUGGCGGUUCGGAAAGUCAUUUUUCGUGAUAACGUCAAAUUUUUCACAACUUUUUCGGGUUUUAAACUUCAUUGUGUAAAUCAUUUUGUCGCGGGGGAGCUUAGUAAAUUUUUAUCCAUUCAAGAUCAUUCUCAUGACCAUUUGAAGGUUUUAUAAUCAUGUUUUUGAUUAUAAAUCUACGGAGAAUUUGAUAUGGUCAUUCGAAAUUGGAUUUGUAACUUUUCAAAUUUGAAGAUUUUUGAUAAAGCUUGUGGUAGAAUUAUGAAGGUAGCUUUUACAGCGGAAGUUCUUCAUCGAGCUCUGUUAAAGCUUUUAUAGAGAAUUAUCCUUUACAGAGGAAGUUCUUUAUCGAGCUCUGCUAAGGACUUGUUAUAUCUCCGACUCGUUGUAUUUUCUCGAUCAAGUGGCGUUACGAAUCUUAAAGUUUGGGUUGUUACAUGAUAUUUUUUGAUGGCUUGAAUCAUUAGCUUAUUUGAAGAUCAUUGUGACUUGGAGGGGGAGCUCUUCAAAGACAAGAAGUGAUUCAGUUUCUUUGUUCUGAAAUAGGUUUUUAUGGCAGGUUUGGUUUUACAUGAAGAUUCUUUGGGAUUACAUUCGAAAAUGAAGUUUAAAGACAUUACUUCAGUGCUUGAUAUAUAUAUCCUAGAGCCCAUGUUUGAAGACUAUUGAAGAAUCAAGAUUCGUGGAUUGCUUCAUAUAUUCCUCGUUGCAGAUCUUUUUAUUUGCUAGAUGCUUGUUUUGGAAGUUAAAGCAUUGUCAUCCAUUCCAUACUUUGAGGGGGAGAUUGUAGGGUUUCAAAGUACUCCAUGGAUGAUGGCAAUGGGCCCCUUUGAUGAAUUCUAGGUUAAAAGCCCAAGACUUGUCUUUUCCCUAUAAAUAGUCAUGUAUUAUUCACAAUUAGGGUUGAGAGAGAGGCAAAAUAUAGUCGCCACGUGAGGUUUCUUAUGUACUGUUAGAUUCUUUAGUCUAUGCUGAAAGUGUAAUUUGUUCCUCUUGUUUCAAUAAAUCGAGUGAUCAUUCGACCUAAUCUUCAUAUUUGUGUGUGUUCUUAUUUUCCACAUCUUGUUCAUCAAAUCACAAUUAGGGUUUGAAUCCCAUUAGAAACAUAAGCCCGUAUUACACUUCCAGUCCCUCCCCCUCAAUUCCUUUUCAAUCUAAGCCCACUAAUUACCAAACCGCCCUCAACUUCCAAAAUUCAUUACAAUUCAAGUCCAAAUGUUUCAAUAUAGAUCCGUAAUUCCAGAAAUUAUAUCAUUUAACUCGUUAUGGUUAAUACUGAUAAAUUAUUAUGAAUUUAAGGCUAUUAUUCAUUUAUUAAUUUUAUCUAUUUAUUUAUUUAUUAAACGGAAUGUUACAAUUGCAUACCUGGUAAAGGGAAUGGAAAUUCAGACGUUGGAUUAAAUGUUACUUCUUUCAAAACUUUUGAAUCAUGUGCUAUGCCCUCCCAUCCAGCCCAUACAAAGGUGCAUAUCAUAUUAAAAUCACAAAUUCCUAUUACAUUUUGAUAACAUUCACCUUUUCAUCUUCCCCUAUAGCGAUUUUGUUCAUCAACUGACACAACUGCAUGUACAAGUGUUGCAUUUAGUGAACCUACUGCUCCAGGAAAUGUAUUUUAGCCGUCUAUGUCGUUCCGAGGUAUGUCUUGUUGUAUUAAAAUAUGUUGCUACUAUAAUUUCUCUUGCAAAACACAUCAUUGCACUUAGGACCUCGUGAAAACAUUGAUGAAUCAUUUGUAAGGAGUGGUGAAGCCUUCCUAUAAUGGCUCGAAAACGUUCAUUAUGUCCUAUAACUUGUAAAAAUAUAGCCAUCUUUUCUUCAACACUUAUUGACCUACUACGUUGCAACUAAUUUCUUUGACUAAAAUGAUUGCAUAAAAAUACAAUGCUUCUUGUGAAAGACGCAUCAUAUCGUAACAUUGUAUAGGACAUCAAUAUAUCAAAUCUUGUGUAUACGCAUGCCUAGUGUCUUCCAAUUCGCUGGAUUUUAUUCUUUCAAUACUUUUUUUUCCUUUGUUGGACCAACGUCAGCCAAUACCAUGAGAGUAUAAGGAAACCUAAAAACCACCUUCUUUAUCCAUAUAUGACAUGUUAAAUGUUAAAUAUAAAUCACAUACAUUUAUAACAUAAACCAUGACAUAAAUCAAUAACAUAAAAAUCCAUAACAUAUAAAUCCAUCACAUAAAAAUCCAUAACAUAAAAAUCAAUACCAUAUAACAAUCCUAAACAUAACACAUAAAAAACCUAAACAUAAAAAAUUCUAAACACAACACAUAACAACCCUAAACAUAAAAAUCCAUAACAUGUACCAUGAUAUAAAUCCAUAAAACAUAAAGUCAAAAACAUCCUAAAGUCAUACUAAAGUCAACCAAGUAAUCCAAAAUUCUUGCCCGCACUUUUCACCCACAACUCACAAGUCGCAGACUCGAGGCGUAACCAAAAUUUUCUAUUACCAACAUUUUUAGCGAAUAACAUAAGAGCAGUGAUGUAUUUUGGAUCAGAAUUUCCCCAACCCAAGCCUUUCAAUUUAUCAAUACAUUCAUCCAUCUCCUUGUCAAGAUUACUUGUUUGCGCGAACUCCUGAGUCGCCUUCAUAAUUUCCUUGCCAACCUCUCUUAUUUCAUCAUCCAGUGUGUCCUUGGGUGCGAGUGCAUUUCAUUUUCCUCUUUUGUUUUUGGUCUGACCAGAGGAAUCUUCACUUACAUGUGAUGCACUUAUAGGUGGGGGUACUGUUGAGGAACUUGUUGGGGGUGUAGUGUUAAAGCUGAGGCUGGGAUAUCCAUUUGAGGUGGUGGAUCUACCAUCUCGAUAUCCUCAUAAUCUUUUGUAGUAAACACUUUUGAUGGAGGAUGAGGGAGUGUCGAAGAUAGUCCCCAACUGACAGCACCAGUCGUGGUCACACCAUCAAACAACUCGGUGCAUAGAUAUGGGUAAAGGAGGGGCGCAUUUGUUAAUUUCUCUACCAUCUUGUUCAACUGUUUGAAAAAAUGAUAUUAUUAUUAAACUUUUAAAACAAAAUAAUAAUGUGUUUUAAAAUAAAAGAAUACAUUCGUCUCCGCUUUCCACUCUUCACCCGUCAUUAGAAACGUGUUUCUUAUAGGAUUAUAGAGAUUCCCAGUUUUGUUUUUUAAUUUCAACCAAACCGCAUACUUGCUUUUCAAGUAGUCAUAAUGAUAUUUUUUUUUCAACAACAAAGUCAUGUUCGUUUUUUUAGUUUUUCAGCUAUUGUAUUCCAUAAGUUUCAUUUGAGACCACUACCCUCACGACCAUUACUUGUUAGUUAUUGUAUACAUGCGUCAAGAAAAGUUUUGUUCACAAAAUCCAAAGACCAACUAGCUCUACUUAUCUUUUAUGCCAUGUCUAUGGAAUAAAUGAAUGCUAAACAUGUUACAUAAAUAUAUACACAUAUACACAUAUACACCAAUAUACACACAAAUAUGCACACAUAUACACAAACAUAUAUACAUAUACACAUAUUGUCUUAUAAUAAAUAAUUGCAACUUUUGCAAAAGCCUUUGUGUAAUUUUUGUUAAAGCUAAACUUGGGAAUAAACACACACACACAUAUAUAUUUAUAUAUAUAUAUAUAUAGAGAGAGAGAGAGAGAGAGAGAGAGAUAGCUUCAAAUGUUUUUAGCAAUUAUUGUGUGCCUAAAUGCACCAAUGAGAAUUCAAGAAAUAACAAAUAAUUAAAUAAAUUAUUUAAGAGUAUAAUAGUAAUAUACGCAUCUUUUUAUAUGGAAAUUUUGAUUAGUUCUCCUUAAAACCUGUCAUUCUACAUCUUAAAACCCAUAGUCGACCAUUGCCGAUCACGAUUCUCCCCCUUUUCACAUUUUUUUUCUUAUUUCCACCACCGUCCUAUUUGCAUCGGACGAUCUCCACCCAACAGCAGCCACAAGCACCGUAUCGUCGUCGUUUUUUCCCAUUGGUAUUUUCUCUGUUUUCAAUUUUGGUCUACAUCUUAACGGUACAACAGUUUAGAACCCUAUAAUCGAUUCUAAAGGAAGCCCUAAACGUGUUUCAUUUGAUAUUACUGAUUAGGGGAUACUCUUGUUAAGGCAUACAGGAAAGAAAUAUAAUCCCAUUUGUUACAGUUUGAGGUAAGAACAUGAAGAUUGUCACAACGAAUAACAUUGGAGACAGUCACACCCAGCUAAGGUUAGAUUUUGUUAAAUUUUUCCUACUGUCGAUUUUUUCUCAUGCUGUUGACCCUCCCCUGAUGUCUAUCAAUUGUCGCCUAAUAAUCGAUGUUGCAUACACAUCAUGCAUUCCAACUGUUCGACGAAAUGCCAGUAAGAAAAAACAAAAUAUUUUCUAAAAAAAAGAUUUAUUUAAAGAAAAUGAUAAAUGAAAGGCUUUUCUUGUUUGCAGAUACAAUUGAAGUCUUUAGCAGAAGAAAUGCAGGCCAUUAUUAAGGGUCUUGAAAAGGUCAUACAAGAACUAGAUGCUUCAGCAAACGAUGGCCCUGUCUAUGAAGUUUUUCAUAAAGUAAAUACACAAAUACUUUACUCAAUUUCUUCUAAUUCGAUAUCUUUUUUUUAUAUAAAACUACAAUCUGAUGCGAAUAUUUCUUUUUGUUGCAUUCUUAGACACCGAAGCAGUUUAUCAGCAUUGUUGAGUUGGAAGUAGGGUCCAUAAGAAAUUUGUAUUUUGUGGUGGUAAGAAUCAAGAACAACCCUUUGAAUUAAACUUUAUAUAUAUUUUGUAUUAUUUUAUAAUGUUUGUGUUGCAGGGUAGAAAUGUUGAUGCAUUGGCAUUAUAUUUUGGUGAAGAUCCUGCUUGUUGCCCUUUUGAACAAGGUAACAUAUUUAAUUGACAUGUUCUUUUUAUAAGGAGAAAUAAUAAUAAUAAUAAUAAUAAUAAUAAUAAUAAUAAUUGUUUAAUUGCAUAUGCUCGAAAGUAUAAGAGAAGAAUGAUGGUUUAUGGCUAUGGUUGUAGUUAAUUCUUUAAGAAUAUUCAAAACCAUUCUGCAAGAAUAGUUUAUUCUGUAAGAAUAUUAUUGUUGUAUUCUGAUAGAAUUGUAGUUAAUUAUUUUUAUGUUUAAUGUGCAGUUGUUACAAGUGUAUCACUACGAAUUACUUGGCAAUGAAUUUCAGAUAGAAAUUGCUUGAAGUCAUGAUGGGAAAGGCUUGAAGAAUGAAUUAAAGAAUGAUCACACUUAUUGUUUAAGAAUGUUUUUAUUUUUUAAGAAUUAUACUUGUUAUUCUUUCAUAAUGUUUGUUAUUAUUCAAUGAAUCACAAUCAUACAGUGUAAUUAUUUGGUAUAUUAUUAGUUCAUGAAUCGAUUUUGUAUAUUCUUUCAUAAUGUAUUUACUAGUUUAUGGUUGACAUUCUGUCAUUCUGACAACAUAAAAUCGAAAAAUAUAUUUACUAGUUUAUUGCUAACAUUAUAUAAUUCUGAUAGAAUAGAAUUGGAUUUUUAAUUUUGAAUUAAUUUAAAAUAUUCAGAUUUUUGAAAAUAAAGGAAUUAAUUAUCNUUUUGAAAAUAAGGAAUUAAUUAUCCCUAAAAAUACGAAAAUUUCCUUUUUUACUAUAGGUUAAUUGACUAAAAUGCCCUUAUGCUUAAACUUAUGUGAUUAUAUGAUACAUGCUAUCCUAUUCUACUAUCAUAGACCCUCAAAUCACGCCCCUUGAUUAUAUUUCAUCCAAUGGUCCAGAUCUGUGCAUUCUGACAUACAAUAGUUACUAGAAACAAAAUAACCUAAGCCUAUAUAUAUAUAUAUAGUUCGGAUCUUGUGAGGACUCAAAAAACGAUGAGGAUUGCAAGGACAAUAGGACUCAAAAAACGGGGAGGAUUGCAAGGACAAUUCUCGUCCAAUCGUGUUCAUUNUACAAAAGAAAAAACAUAUGCAGACAUAUAAAUAAAGAAACAUAUACACAACUUUUGUGUAAUUUUAGUUAAAGGUAUACAAAAGCUUUUUCAACUUUUAGGAAUAAAAGCAACAAAACAUUAAACAACAAAGUAGGAAUAUGAUAUCUGAGCCAAACACAUAACUCGUAUACAUCUAAGCAAAACCCAAAAUCCCACUAAAAACCCAUAUAUUUCUCAGCCAAAAACAGAAGGAACGAGUUGGGGGGNNNNNNNNNNGAAGAAAUCAGCAAACAGUUAAAAAAAAUUCAGAAUGAAGAAGCAAAGAAGUAGCUGAUCGUGGGAAAAGAAUUGAACAUAACAUUCAAUGAAGAAAUCUAGAAUGAGAACGAAGGAAGAAAGAAGAAAUUGUUACCUUUUGAUCGGUCAUGUCGUUGCUUCGUUGAUCACUGCCUUUUCUCUGUGCAGGUUCUCAACAUAUUACGUAGGGUAAAUUCCGAAUACGCAUAACCAAUAUACGUCCUAGUCCAGCGAUUGAGAGGGAAGGACUGAAUCAACCUUUUUUCUUAGACUGAGUCUUAUGCUUGGACCGAGUCCUUAAUUGUAAAAAACAAAAUCAAACUUCUUGAUCUAUCUUUUUUGGACCAGGUCCUUGUUAGAUGCAAGUAGAAGCAAUAACAAACGACCCCUUACCACGCAUGUUAAUUUUAUUCAAGUCUCGGAUGAUUAUGUUUAAGGAUCAAAGGAGAGCAGGGGCAACCACAUUUGAGGUAGUUCAAUGGUCUACACCAAUUGUCUUUUAAGAAAAAAAAUAUAUGACCUUAAUCCCUUGAAAAUAUACUUAUUAACUUGAAUGGAAUCAAUUCGAAAAUAUAGUAUUACUUUGCCUUUAAUCCUUUGAAAAUACACUUUGCAAAUUAAUCACAAAUCUUUGGGUAAAUUACAUGAAUGUUCCAUGUGGUUUGUGGGUUAAUAUACAUGCUUGGUCUUUAAUCUUUUUUUUUAAAUUCGAACCAUCCUUAUGAUUUUUUUUUAUCGGUCAAUAAUCAUUAUCAUUAAUUGAAGAAAGUUUUACAUAGACAUAGCGGGUAAAACAAACAACAGACUGUGCUGCAACUCCUUUUUGGAUGACAAAACCAAUUAUUUUAAAAAAAAUCUAUAAAUCUUGAGGUCAAUGUCAUUACUAUGUAUAAUCCGUUGGAUUUUGGUCCGUAUAAUAAUUAUUUUUCCCUUAAUAAUAUAUUUUAAUUUUAUUUUAAUUCUUAUAUAGAAUAAUUGUGUAAAUAUGCACACCAAACCUCUUUCCCUUAUCUCUCCCCCACCUUGCAUCCUUGAUCUCUCUAUAGUCUCGCCAACACUAGUUCUCCACACUAGAAAAUUCAUCACCAUCAAAGGAGGUUUCGGAUAGCAUAGAUGUGAAAUGGGAAAAAGGAAUGGUUUAACUAAGUUUCCGAAUAACCACCACCUACACGUGUCUGACGACGUCGAAGUGGAGAAAGGAACAAUUACUUGCUCUUCUGAUGGGUGUUCUUUUGGGAGAGAGAGAGAGAGAGAGAGAGAGAGAGAGAGAGAGAUAAUCCUUUAAAUAAUUUACUUAUAUCAUAAUAAUUUAAAGGUUUGUGUGUAGAAAAAUCUCAUUAUUUUAGGAAUUUUUUUGAUAAUUAAAGGCGUAAUUUUUUUAAUAGAAAAAUCUUGAUUAUUUAACAUUUUGUCCAAAUUAACAAAAACAUUAUUUAUCAUAUUUUAAUAGAAAAUAAUAGAUUAUGUGAUUUUUCCAAAAUAAUUGGAUUUUUUUGUUCAAAAAAAAUAUAUUUAAAACUUUAUCAAAAGUUUUUCAUAAAUAAUGAGACUUUUAUGCAUAAAAUCUAAAAAUAUGUUAAAAAAUAUGAUAAAGAGUAAAAUAGUCGAUUUAAAUUGAUCAGAAAGUAAAAUCGAAACCAAAUCAAAAUGUAAGGAUGACCCAAGUUAAAAAAUAAUAAAAUUAAAAUAAAAAGAUAAAAAAUAAAAAAGAGUUAGGGACAAACGAAGAUACUGCCCAAACCAUCGGGAGUAUUUGUGUCGGUUAUCUGAUUUAGUUUCAUAUGCACGCAAAAAGUAUUUGGCCUAGUUGCAAUAUUGCAUCUCUCGACUUUCAUAGUCUCGUAUGAAAUCUUAAAUAUAUAACUACCACAAUUUUUAGUCAACAAACUUACUUAUAACUUAAAAUAAAUCUUUUUGUUUUUUUAAAAGCUAGUAAAUUGCACUUCAAAAUGUAAAACUAUUUAUUGCCCACGGGCCACGACUGAUGCAUCCAUGCAUGUUAGCACACCAUGCAUAAAUACAAUUUCAGCUAAAGAUUAUCUUGAAAUAUAUCAACUGUUUUCAAGUUUCACCAGUAUAUCUUUGAUUUGGUUUAUUCCAACUCAAAUUAACAUCACGCUCUUCUCAAUUGUUUCCGAUUAAUAUAAUUUUUUUUUACUUUGACUUUCAUUAUUAUUAGCGCAUAUGAAAACUAUAUUUAUUUCUAUAAUAACUAGAACUCGAGAUCACUUGAUGAUGUUAGGUUAAGCUCACAUUUGAUUUGAUAACUCGACAUUUUUCUAAUACGUUCUUCUAAUAUAAGCUUGGAUUUUGAUCUAGAAAAGUUAACUCAAUUCGAAAACUCUGAUAACUAAAAAAUAUUUAUGACAUUAAUAAUAAAUUGUGCAUUCGAAAUUCGAACCUGAUAAAAUUCGCCUUGAUCGAUAAAGCUUGGAUAACUUGAUAGAAAUUCGAGUCCUUUGCAAACUCUAUGAUGGUGAAUCAGUGAUUGUGAAUUGGGGAUAGGGGAUAGGUGGUCCGAGAUAUGUCUGCCACAUGCAUUCAUGUUGUGUGUCAAUUUUCUUAAGAGAAUGAGUUUGACACUGUUUGGUUUUUAUUAUCCCACUUGCAUAUGCCCUUUUUUGUAAUUUCUUUCGCUUAUGUUAUUUCUUUUUUAUAUAAAUUUUUUUAAUAGAACUGUAUAUAUAGACAUGUUUGUGUAUGUAUGUCCUUCACAAAAAUUUCAAAGUUCUUGAUCAAUUUCAUCAAAAUCAAAUAUCCAAUGUUCGAUUUCAUAGUUCAAUAUAUAUCGAUUGAAGGCA